This 497-nucleotide ribosomal RNA is filed under the name uncultured bacterium. RNAcentral describes it as "partial 16S ribosomal RNA". It matches the Rfam family "Bacterial small subunit ribosomal RNA", at positions 28 to 507 of the family's 1533-position model. The record is from RNAcentral.
GAUGAACGCUGGCGGCGUGCCUAAUACAUGCAAGUCGAGCGAACAGACGAGGAGCUUGCUCCUCUGACGUUAGCGGCGGACGGGUGAGUAACACGUGGAUAACCUACCUAUAAGACUGGGAUAACUUCGGGAAACCGGAGCUAAUACCGGAUAAUAUAUUGAACCGCAUGGUUCAAUAGUGAAAGACGGUUUUGCUGUCACUUAUAGAUGGAUCCGCGCCGCAUUAGCUAGUUGGUAAGGUAACGGCUUACCAAGGCAACGAUGCGUAGCCGACCUGAGAGGGUGAUCGGCCACACGGGAACUGAGACACGGUACAGACUCCUACGGGAGGCAGCAGUAGGGAAUCUUCCGCAAUGGGCGAAAGCCUGACGGAGCAAAGCCGCGGGAGUGAUGAAGGUCUUCGGAUCGUAAAACUCUGUUAUUAGGGAAGAACAAAUGUGUAAGUAACUAUGCACGUCUUGACGGUACCUAAUCAGAAAGCCACGGCUAACUACGUG